This 397-nucleotide ribosomal RNA is filed under the name uncultured bacterium. RNAcentral's name for it is "partial 16S ribosomal RNA". It matches the Rfam family "Bacterial small subunit ribosomal RNA", at positions 523 to 918 of the family's 1533-position model. The record is from RNAcentral.
AUACGUAGGUGACAAGCGUUAUCCGGAUUUACUGGGCGUAAAGGGCGUGUAGGCGGUCUUGCAAGUCAGAAGUGAAAUUCCUGAGCUCAACUCGGGCGCUGCUUCUGAAACUGCAGGACUUGAGUGCUGGAGGGGAUAGCGGAAUUCCUAGUGGAGCGGUAAAAUGCGCAGAUAUUAGGAAGAACACCGGUGGCGAAGGCGGCUAUCUGGACAGUACCUGACGCUGAGGCGCGAAAGCGUGGGGAGCAAACAGGAUUAGAUCCCCUGGUAGUCCACGCCGUAAACGAUGAAUACUAGGUGUAGGGGGUAUCGACUCCCUCUGUGCCGCAGUUAACACAAUAAGUAUUCCGCCUGGGGAGUACGGCCGCAAGGUUGAAACUCAAAUGAAUUGGCGGGG